UACGUAGGUGGCAAGCGUUGUCCGGAUUUACUGGGCGUAAAGAGCGCGCAGGCGGUCGUUCAAGUCGCGUGUGAAAGCCCCCGGCCCAACUGGGGAGGGUCACGCGAUACUGAUCGACUCGAAGGCAGGAGAGGGAAGUGGAAUUCCCGGUGUAGUGGUGAAAUGCGUAGAUAUCGGGAGGAACACCAGUGGCGAAGGCGACUUCCUGGCCUGUUCUUGACGCUGAGGCGCGAAAGCUAGGGGAGCAAACGGG
RNAcentral lists this ribosomal RNA (253 nucleotides) under uncultured bacterium. RNAcentral describes it as "partial 16S ribosomal RNA". It matches the Rfam family "Bacterial small subunit ribosomal RNA", at positions 524 to 776 of the family's 1533-position model. The record is from RNAcentral.